CGCAUCUGUGCAUGCAGCAUAUCAAUAAGCGGAGGAAAAGGAAACUAACAAGGAUUCCCCUAGUAACGGCGAGUGAAGCGGGAAGAGCUCAAAUUUGAAAUCUUAAAGGGUUUCCCUUUACGAAUUGUAGUUUAAAGAAGUGUUUUCUGUUGAGGUUUUGGUAAAAGUUCUUUGGAAUAGGACAUCAUAGAGGGUGAGAAUCCCGUAUUUGACCUUUACUUUCAACUUUGUGAUACACUUUCAAAGAGUCGGAUUGUUUGGGAAUGCAGUCCAAAAUGGGUGGUAAAUUUCAUCUAAAGCUAAAUAUUGGCGAGAGACCGAUAGCGAACAAGUACCGUGAGGGAAAGAUGAAAAGAACUUUGAAAAGAGAGUUAAACAGUACGUGUAAAUUGUCAAAAGGGAAGCGUUUGACACCAGUGUUGUUUUUCUGAAAAUCAAUUAAAGAACUGUUUAUGCUAAGCUGUUUAGACUUUAUCAGCUAUCUGUUUAGUUUUGAGCUUUUCUUUAAUGCACUUUUCAGUUAACAAGUCAACAUCAAUUUCUUUUGCUGUAAAAAAGCUUGAGGAAGGUGGCUUGAGAUUCGUCUUAAGUGUUUAUAGCCUCUUGCCUAUGCAGUCGGAGAGAUUGAGGUCUGCAGCGUAGAUCCUUCGGGGCUAAAUGCAUUUGUGCUAAGUUAUAGCAUUUUAUAGACAACCUGUUGACUAUGAUUUGUCUUGUAGCUUACUCGCUUAUGUUAUUUUACCUACGCUUAGGAUGUUGAGUCGUAGAGCACGCAG
RNAcentral lists this ribosomal RNA (776 nucleotides) under uncultured Neocallimastigales. RNAcentral's name for it is "partial large subunit ribosomal RNA". It matches the Rfam family "Eukaryotic large subunit ribosomal RNA", at positions 26 to 628 of the family's 3401-position model. Lineage: Eukaryota; Fungi; Neocallimastigomycota; Neocallimastigomycetes; Neocallimastigales. The record is from RNAcentral.